Molecule: transfer RNA, 75 nt
Filed under: Thermoproteota archaeon
Lineage: Archaea; Thermoproteati; Thermoproteota
Description: Crenarchaeota archaeon (sediment metagenome) tRNA-Gly
Rfam family: tRNA
About the family: Transfer RNA (tRNA) molecules are approximately 80 nucleotides in length. Their secondary structure includes four short double-helical elements and three loops (D, anti-codon, and T loops). Further hydrogen bonds mediate the characteristic L-shaped molecular structure. tRNAs have two regions of fundamental functional importance: the anti-codon, which is responsible for specific mRNA codon recognition, and the 3' end, to which the tRNAs corresponding amino acid is attached (by aminoacyl-tRNA synthetases). tRNAs cope with the degeneracy of the genetic code in two manners: having more than one tRNA (with a specific anti-codon) for a particular amino acid; and 'wobble' base-pairing, i.e. permitting non-standard base-pairing at the 3rd anti-codon position.
Source: RNAcentral
GCGACCGUAGUCUAGCCAGGACUAGGACAUCGGCUUUCCGAGCCGAGGACCCGGGUUCAAAUCCCGGCGGUCGCA